This 253-nucleotide ribosomal RNA is filed under the name uncultured bacterium. Its description in RNAcentral is "partial 16S ribosomal RNA". It matches the Rfam family "Bacterial small subunit ribosomal RNA", at positions 524 to 776 of the family's 1533-position model. The record is from RNAcentral.
GACGUAGGGGGCAAGCGUUGUUCGGAAUUAUUGGGCGUAAAGCGCUCGUAGGCGGGACAGGAAGUUCGUGUUGAAAGACCUCGGCUCAACUGAGGGACCGGCUCGAAUACUCUUGUUCUUGAGGCAAUCAGAGGGUGAUGGAAUUCCCGGUGUAGCGGUGAAAUGCGCAGAUAUCAGGAGGGACACCAUUGGCGAAGGCGGCACUCUGGGCCGGUACUGACGCUGAGGAGCGAAAGCGUGGGGAGCGAACAGG